UGUUAUAUCUUUUAUCUCGUUCAGAUCUAUUUCGUACUUUUGAUCCCGUUCGACAAGUUUCGCGAAUAUUUGAAGAGAUAUUUGAUUAGGAUAUCGGGUGAUAGAGAAGGGGGUGAGGAUCGAUCAAUGAAACGCAUCUGUCUCUCUCUCUCUCUUUCUCUCUCUCUCUCUCUCUCUCUCUCUCUCUCACACACACACACACGCAAGCAAAUUCUCCCUCUCAGUCAGUGCGUGAGCUCUUUGGAGUAAACGUUACGUCAGUGGGCGUCGCGUGACGUAGCGGAAGUCGUGCGUCACCGGUGAUGUAAAGUAACGGGCGGAAGAGGUGGAGGAAGAGAAGGAGAAAGGGUGGGGGAGGAGGAACGUCCGAAAGAGGCCAUUGACGAGAACGAGCGAGCGAGCGAGCGAGAGAGGGAGAGAGGACUUGUUGCAUGUCCUUUUCCAGCCGGCAAUCUUUACAAUCGUCGACAUCAUACAAAAUUUUGUCCACUCCCUUGAUUGGAUUUUACGGGAUUAUGAUUUCAAAAGCCCCGAAUCGAAAACUGACGGAUAAAGAGCCAGAGGGAGGAGAUAGAGAGAGAGGAGAGAGAGAGAGAGAGAGAUAGAGAUAGGGAUAUAGUAGGAAGCAUCGUAAAAACGUGUCCGCGCAUAUUUUCAUCGAGGGCGCGAGUACUUGUUGCAUAUCCGUUUGCGCAUGUGUCGUCUUCUUUUAAGAUUCCCCGUUAGUGGCUCGGAGAAAUGAGGAAAAAUUGUUGGAGGUGAAUCUCUUCGUCUAUGAGAAAUUUAACGUAACCAAUAGGUAAUCGUAGAUAGCGUAUACGCGCUUCUCACGAUUACUUCGAAACUGAAAAUCUUGUAGGGGUAAGAUGGAGAGAGAAAAGAAAAAGUGUUAGCGAAAUAGAGAGAAACACGGGAGUGGUUUUUCAUGAAUCCUUGGAGAUUCUCUUUCCCUUGGAUUUUCUCAAACAGCUGCCGCUUCUUCGUUUAAUCAAGACAACCUACCCUGUUAUAUUAGCAGUCUCGAUCUAGCAGCUCGUGGCGGCUCGUUAAUUAGCAAUUUGCUUUCUCGUUGUAAAGGCGAACGGUAACAUCGCUUGCAUAAUCUCUCUUCCUCUCUCUCCCUUUUUAUCGCGUGCUCUUCUGGAUGGCGAAAUGAAGGAGGGAGGGAGGGUGAGAGUGAGUUAGGAGGGGAAAUGAGGAGGGAGGAAAGAGUAGCGAGGCAGACAGCAGCGGUGUCGUUUAAAACUCCGGAUAGUUCUUCGUAAUCUGGCACGUUUCCCGAGCUCGUUAUUUUCUAGCGAACGUAUGCUCUUUUGUAAAUUCGUCUAGUCGUUAGACGACGGCAAUGAUCUUGUUUCAACCCCCCUGCCCUUCUCUCUUUUUUCUCUCUUUUCUCUCUCUCUUUUCUCUCUCUCUUUUUCUUUUAUCUUUCCCCCCUCUUUCCUUUUUUUUUUUGCUUAACGAGCACAAGGCAUGAUGUUUAAGAGUGUACACGCGCGACACCGUAUGUCGAUUUCCCCAACCCUUCUUCCGACACGUCCAACGGAAUCUACUGGGCCACGAGGCUUAUCGCGGAACGAAGACCGCAAUCGCGAUUUUUAUAUUUCCUGUUUUUUCCUCUUGUUCUUCCCUUUUUUUUCAUUUUUUCUUCUUUUUUUUCUUUUUUCGAGUGCGGUCAUGGCAAACCAUAAAGUAUCAUAAUAUAUCAUUUUCAUGGUGCGUCGUUUCACGUUCACACCUCGCCCCGAUAGACGGUUAACGCGAAUCACCAUUUUUAUCUUCGCAUCCUUAUUAAAAAGAUACCAACAAAAGUUGGUAUGUAUGUAUAUAUAUAUAUAUACUGUGUAUAUGCACGUAUGCACGUAGAUACGAGGACGUACAUGCACAUAUAUAUAUAUUUAUAUAUAUAUAUAUAUUUAUAUAUGUAUAUAUAAGUUCUCGAGCAGGCAGGACGACCUACUUUAAACGCGCUUUACGAAACUACGAUAGAAAGUCCGUUGUCGUUCGUGACGCUUGAAAAUGACGUCGGUUUGGACGUCACUCGCGUGUGACAAUAAAAAGUUAAAGAGGAUCCUUUCGAAGAUCAAUUAGUUCCUUUUUCUCGGAUGUCUAUCGUCCUCGUUGAAAGAGAAAAAAAAACCAAUAGAAAAUAACGUAGAAAAAAGAAAGAAGAAAGGAGAAAGAAGAAAAAAAAACGGCAACGAAAAAGAAGAAACAAGUUGAGGACGGCCAUCUUCUAUUAUCGCGGUCGGUAAGGUAGAUCCCCCUUUGGAAAUUUACCGCUCUUAUUUUUUUAUCCGCGAGAUGUCGACAGUCGCGGCAGGUGCGUUCGACCAAUAGGCUCUCUCUAUACGGCUUCACCCCCUUCGGCCCCUUUGGCGUCUUUGGUACGGCCACACUGGCGCCCCCCUCCCGCCGCCCGUCGUCGCGGCUCGGUUCGCCGCCGUCGAUCGGCGCUCAGCCGACAGUGGCACGGACAGUGAUCGCAAUAUGGCUUCCGCCAGCGCUAGUAAGUGAGAGUACCGUCGAAAGGUGAUAACGGACAUGGUGGGAUUUCGAAGGGUGCGCGGGUCUUUGCGCGCGUGCAAUUGACCGGCAUUUCUCGUCGCCGUUGUCGUCGUCUUCGUCAUAAUCGUUGUCGUUGAGUUUCUCGGUGAAACACGUACCUUUUCGAGAAGACUUAACGGCGAAUCUCGUGCUUACGCGCUCGUUAGAAAGUAGCAACGGGUGGAAGUAGUAGAGAAGGAGAAGGAGAAGAAGAAGAAGAAGAAGAAGAAGAAAAAGAAAAAGAAAAAGAAGAAGAAGAAAAAGAAGAAGUAGUAGUAGUAA
Molecule: long non-coding RNA, 2829 nt
Organism: Vespula pensylvanica (western yellowjacket)
Lineage: Eukaryota; Metazoa; Arthropoda; Insecta; Hymenoptera; Vespidae
Exons: 2
Source: RefSeq, a predicted model, not a curated record